Molecule: ribosomal RNA, 466 nt
Filed under: uncultured bacterium
Lineage: Bacteria
Description: partial 16S ribosomal RNA
Rfam family: Bacterial small subunit ribosomal RNA
Source: RNAcentral
GACGAACGCUGGCGGCGUGCUUAACACAUGCAAGUCGAACGGAAAGGCCCUGCUUUUGUGGGGUGCUCGAGUGGCGAACGGGUGAGUAACACGUGAGUAACCUGCCCUUGACUUUGGGAUAACUUCAGGAAACUGGGGCUAAUACCGGAUAGGAGCUCCUGCUGCAUGGUGGGGGUUGGAAAGUUUCGGCGGUUGGGGAUGGACUCGCGGCUUAUCAGCUUGUUGGUGGGGUAGUGGCUUACCAAGGCUUUGACGGGUAGCCGGCCUGAGAGGGUGACCGGCCACAUUGGGACUGAGAUACGGCCCAGACUCCUACGGGAGGAAGCAGUGGGGAAUAUUGCACAAUGGGCGGAAGCCUGAUGCAGCAACGCCGCGUGCGGGAUGACGGCCUUCGGGGUGUAAACCGCUUUCGCCUGUGACGAAGCGUGAGUGACGGUAAUGGGUAAAGAAGCACCGGCUAACUACG